AUAAAGGCUUUGCUGUUGUAUCCCCACUGCAAAAAGCACCAAAGUAACAUGAAGAAACUUAAUUAAACAAGUCUCUAGGAGGGGCAGAGGGCGAAUCUUCCACCUAAUUUGUAUCCAUACUCAUCCAAAAAGUCUUAUGUCUUUUAAGAAAUUUUAGUUGGGAUGGGACACGGUCCACCCUGGCCUUGAGGAAUCUCUGCUGGCUGUUUGAUUAUCAUGCGUAAUUUGAAAUGUGCUUGUCGGUGCUGUUUGCAGUGGGGAUACAGCAACAAUAAUAAAGGCUUUGCUGUUGUAUCUCCACUGCAAAAAGCACCAAAGUAACAUGAAGAAACUUAAUUAAACAAGUCUCUAGGAGGGGCAGAGGGCGAAUCUUCCACCUAAUUUGUAUCCAUACUCACUCAAGAAGUAUUAUGUCUUUAAGAAGUUUUAUUUGGGACAGGACACGGUCCACCCUGGCCUUGAGGAAUCUCUGCUGGCUGUUUGAUUAUCAUGCGUAAUUUGAAAUGUUUCAUGCUGUGUCUGCGUAUCAUUUGGCAACUCCAAUCCAGAAAAAUGUACCUUAGCUGAUGACUUGCUGUAGCUAGCUUUUUGCAUCUGGCAUGGAGAUCUUCUGGAAGUUCACUAGAUAUUCUACGAUUGCGGCCUUUGUCCUUUUCUUUGCCUCGUGGGCAGCUCUGAAGUUCACAAUACUAAUAAGAUUUCGCUUUAGGAGGAUUCUAUGGCCAAAUUAAAAAUCAUUGGAAAAGAAAGGUAGAAAACAAGAUAUAACCAUCUGUUUACACUCUUUAUGUCACAAUCGUGUGACUUCCGCUGUUUUUUUUUUUGCCUUUUAUUUUUUAAAAAAUUUCCCAUACAUUAUGCAAUGGUUGCAUGGUUGCAUACAUGUACAAGUACCUUCCUGCUUUUGUCAUCUUUUAAUCACAUGCCUGUAUAUGUACAAGGCACGUCUAUCAGUUGUGGGAAACAUGUCUUCUGAACUUGAUUUUAAUUAAGACUAACUUUUGUUUGGACCUCGAAGGUCACCCUUAUUAUUGUACAGCUUACAUCUUUCAUCUUUGAUUCUCUCAAAUUUUUUUCUCUUUUCUAUUUGCUCUUUGAACUAACAAUUUUGUAUACCCUUCAGUAUUCAUCUUUUGACAUGGAACUUCUUACCCAGGUGCUCCCUUUUGGAAGUUAGUUUUGAAGCAGUUUGACGAUUUGCUUGUCAAAAUAUUGAUAGCAGCUGCUGUGAUCUCCUUCCUUUUGGCUCGGAUGAAUGGUGAAACUGGAUUAUCAGCAUUUUUGGAACCAUCUGUCAUAUUUAUGAUACUGGCAGCAAAUGCAGCUGUGGGUGUGAUCACUGAAACAAAUGCUGAAAAAGCUCCUGAGGUAUUCGCACUGCGUACAUCCCCUGUUACAACCCGAAACGCCAUGAGUUAUAACUUGUUAGGUACAAAUACAUAAUUGCAACA
Molecule: long non-coding RNA, 1451 nt
Organism: Phragmites australis (common reed)
Lineage: Eukaryota; Viridiplantae; Streptophyta; Magnoliopsida; Poales; Poaceae
Exons: 2
Source: RefSeq, a predicted model, not a curated record